RNAcentral lists this ribosomal RNA (497 nucleotides) under uncultured bacterium. Its description in RNAcentral is "partial 16S ribosomal RNA". It matches the Rfam family "Bacterial small subunit ribosomal RNA", at positions 28 to 507 of the family's 1533-position model. The record is from RNAcentral.
GAUGAACGCUGGCGGCGUGCCUAAUACAUGCAAGUCGAGCGAACAGACGAGGAGCUCGCGCUCCUGAGGGUGGCGGCGGACGGGCGAGUAAGACGUGGAUAAGAAACCAAUUAUACUGGGGGGAUAUCGGGAAAAAGGUUAUACUAACAGAUAAUACAACCAACGGCAGGAAUCAGGAGUGCAUCGCGGCUUGCGUGUUAGUUAGAGAUGGUGUCGCGCCGGAUUAGCUAGUUGGUAAGGUAACGGCCUACCAAGGCGACGAUGCGUAGCCGAUCUGAGAGGAUGAUCAGCCACACUGGAACUGAGACACGGUCCAGACUCCUACGGGAGGCAGCAGUGGGGAAUAUUCCGCAAUGGGCGAAAGCCUGACGGAGCCACGCCGCGUGAGUGAUGAAGGUCUUCGGGUCGUAAAGCUCUUUUGUUAGGGAAGAACAAAUGUAUAAGUAACUCUGCACGUCUUGACGGUACCUAAACAGUAAGCCACGGCUAACUUCGUG